RNAcentral lists this long non-coding RNA (1197 nucleotides) under Gallus gallus (chicken). Its description in RNAcentral is "long non-coding RNA NONGGAT011725". Lineage: Eukaryota; Metazoa; Chordata; Aves; Galliformes; Phasianidae. The record is from RNAcentral.
AGAGAGAAGGCAGGCAGAGCAGGAAGGACUCAGGAAAGUUUGGUUGAAGUAGCCCCAGACCUCCUCUCGCUACCGGCUCCCAGCCAAGCCGAGCGCGGCGGCAGCAGGAGCCUUGGCAGCCUCGCCCGGGGGACGGCGCGGAGCACGCUGACGUCAGCCUGCAGAUGUGCCCCGGCCCGGCGGCAGCGCCGCGCAUGCGCGCCGCGUCACGUGGCGGCGGGGGGGGCAGGGGUACAGUCGGGGUAACGCGAAGCGGCGGGGAGGGAUGAGGAGAGGGUGCUGUGCUCUGUCGGUGCGCCCACCGCGCCGAAGGGGGAACUGAACGGGGCUUUAACGGCCCUUGCCUCCGGCUGUGCUGUAGAGCAGUGCGGUGCGGCGUAGUGUGGUGUGGCAUGGCGCGGUGUGUGGGAGCCCGACUGGGCCCCGGGUGGGCGUUGCUGGCGGCGGGCCGGGCAGCCUCCUCUGCCCGGUGAGGCGCCGAGGAAGCCGGCAGAGGCCUCCCGCCGGCCUUCGACCCGGGCGUUACCGCGGAUUUAAUCACAAAGCAGCUCUCAUGUGCCGUGAGGGCGCGGUGCCGGAGAGGCAGUUUGGGGAACGGGGACUUUCGGGGCCGGGACGGGAGGAGGCCUCCCCAGGGGGGCCCGCGUAGCGCUGCGGCUUUAUUUGCAGCGCUGAGCCCGGGUCAGAGCGGGUUCACGCUGCUGCUAGCAGGCCGCCCGAGUGCUGCGCUUCUUCGUGCCGCGUCGGAGGCAGCGGGGUGGUGCCGGUGAGCCGUUAACGCGCGGGAAGGGUCCCACAGUGCAGCCGCUGCGGGGCGCGUCCGAGGACUGGAGGGCAGCCACGGCCCUCGGGGCCUGAAGGCCGGUCUUGAGGUGGCACUCACAGCGACAGAACCACGGUCCGCUUAGUUCUGUCUGAGCGUAGCGUUGCUGCGGUUCAGGUCUAAGUUCUGCACGUAAACAGGUGACGUUCCCAUCAGCAGGAGCUUCAGCGGAGUUAGCACAACCCUGGAGAAAGAGAGUGGUGAUGGGACUGGUGGUAUCUGGCUUGCACCGUUCUUGACUGGGCAUUAUACUUCAGUAGCUUAUAGAAACAUAAGCCAUCCUGUGUCUGAAUCUGAAGUGUAGACCAGCUACUAUCACACUUGUCUUCACCAGCCAUCAAGUCACGUGCUACUGGAAUAUCUAUUACCUGCUG